GCCCGCUUGGCUGAGUGGUACAGCGUUUCACUAGUACCCCAAAACUGGAUAGUCUAUGAAAAGAUCCUCGGUUCGAUUCCGAGAGUGGGCA
Non-coding RNA from Westerdykella ornata, 91 nucleotides. The record is from the annotation of a RefSeq genome assembly. Lineage: Eukaryota; Fungi; Ascomycota; Dothideomycetes; Pleosporales; Sporormiaceae.